RNAcentral lists this ribosomal RNA (466 nucleotides) under uncultured bacterium. RNAcentral describes it as "bacterial SSU rRNA". It matches the Rfam family "Bacterial small subunit ribosomal RNA", at positions 329 to 793 of the family's 1533-position model. The record is from RNAcentral.
UCCCAGACUCCUACGGGAGGCAGCGGUGAGGAAUAUUGGUCAAUGGUCGGGAGACUGAACCAGCCAAGCCGCGUGAGGGAUGAAGGUACAGAGUAUCGUAAACCUCUUUUGUCAGGGAACAAAGGCGGGGACGCGUCCCCGGAUGAGUGUACCUGAAGAAAAAGCAUCGGCUAACUCCGUGCCAGCAGCCGCGGUAAUACGGAGGAUGCGAGCGUUAUCCGGAUUUAUUGGGUUUAAAGGGUGCGUAGGCGGACGCUUAAGUCAGCGGUAAAAUUGCGGGGCUCAACCUCGUCGAGCCGUUGAAACUGGGUGCCUUGAGUGGGCGAGAAGUACGCGGAAUGCGUGGUGUAGCGGUGAAAUGCAUAGAUAUCACGCAGAACUCCGAUUGCGAAGGCAGCAUACCGGCGCCCAACUGACGCUGAAGCACGAAAGCGUGGGUAUCGAACAGGAUUAGAUACCCUCGUAU